AGUGAACGCUGGCGGUAGGCCUAACACAUGCAAGUCGAACGGCAGCACAGUAAGGGCUUGCUCUUACGGGUGGCGAGUGGCGGACGGGUGAGGAAUACAUCGGAAUCUACUUUUUCGUGGGGGAUAACGUAGGGAAACUUACGCUAAUACCGCAUACGACCUACGGGUGAAAGCAGGGGAUCGUCGGACCUUGCGCGAUUGAAUGAGCCGAUGUCGGAUUAGCUAGUUGGCGGGGUAAAGGCCCACCAAGGCGACGAUCCGUAGCUGGUCUGAGAGGAUGGUCGGCCACACGGGAACUGGGACACGGACCAGAGUCCUACGGGAGGGCGCAGUGGGGAAUAUUGGACAACGGGCGCAAGUCUGACCCAGCGAUCCCGCGUGGGUGGAGAAGGCCUUCGGGUUGUAAAGCCGUUUUGUUGGGAAAGAAAAGCAGCAGGUUAAUACCCCGCUGUUCUGACGGUACCCAAUGAAUAAGCACCGGCUAACUUCGUG
Molecule: ribosomal RNA, 492 nt
Filed under: uncultured bacterium
Lineage: Bacteria
Description: partial 16S ribosomal RNA
Rfam family: Bacterial small subunit ribosomal RNA
Source: RNAcentral